UACCAGCUCCCUGAGUGGUAAGGACGAUUAUUUGGCCUAAAGCGUCCGUAGCCGGCUUAUCAAGUCUUUUGUUAAACCCAAUGAUUCAAUCAUUGAUCUGCAAGAGAUACUGUUAUGCUAGAGGACGGGAGAGGUCGACGGUAGUCCAGGGGUAGGGGUGAAAUCCUAUAAUCCUUGGAGGACCACCAGUGGCGAAGGCGGUCGACUAGAACGUGCCUGACGGUGAGGGACGAAAGCUGGGGGAGCGAACCGGAUUAGAUACCCGGGUAGUCCCAGCUGUAAACGAUGCGGGCUAGGUGUUGGGGUAGCUACGAGCUACUCCAGUGCCGCAGAGAAGUUGUUAAGCCCGCCGCCUGGGGAGUACGGCCGCAAGGCUAGAAACUUAAGGAAUUGGCGGGGGAGCACCACAAGGGGUGAAGGCUGCGGUUU
Molecule: ribosomal RNA, 429 nt
Filed under: uncultured archaeon
Lineage: Archaea
Description: bacterial SSU rRNA
Rfam family: Archaeal small subunit ribosomal RNA
Source: RNAcentral